Long non-coding RNA from Eriocheir sinensis (Chinese mitten crab), 1184 nucleotides. RefSeq lists it as uncharacterized. The transcript has 2 exons. The record is from RefSeq and is a predicted model, not a curated record. Lineage: Eukaryota; Metazoa; Arthropoda; Malacostraca; Decapoda; Varunidae.
UUCUGGGUCGUGAUCUGUAGAGUCCCUUUAAAGGGACUCUACAGAUCACGACCCAGAAACAGGUUACGCUAAAUGGAAGAUGCUAUAUAAGGGACUCUACAGAUCACGACCCAAAAACAGGUUACGCUAAAUGGAAGACACUAUUGUUCUCUGCUUUGAUUUUCUGAGUUCUGUAUAAAGUUUUGGUGGAGGCGGUCAAAACGAACAAAAAGUGGAAGAGGCAAUUAAGGCUGACAUGACGAAUACCUACACAUGUAUUAAUAGUUGUAUAAUCACACUCUGUCCUGCCUGGGGGUUGGGAUGGCAUGUUCCUCCCUUCUCCCUUGUUGUUUACCUGCAACAAUAAACUAUCAAUCAAUGUACUGCAAGUAGAAUGUGCAUGGAUUUAACCCUAUAUGAUAAUAACAGUGGCUUAGAAAAAACACAGUGCUGAUGACAACAUGGGUGAAAAUACAAAAAAAGGCUAAAGAUUAUGUUGACAAUUAAGUGGCUAUUUGGAAAUUUUUACAAUGAAAGAUCAUGAAUAAAAGACUUAAGCUAAAGCAUUUUCCUUAUUAUUUUUCCUUUUCAAAAUGGCAACAUGUAAUGUAAAUGCAGUAUUCAAACACAUUUCUAUUAUAAGCUGAUAUUACCACUCACAAGUAAAGGUUGCUUAAUAAUAUGCAGCAAAAUAUAUAAAAAAUAAGCAUUACUAAUAAACUAAUUAAAAAAAAUUGAAAAAACAAACAUUUUAUAAUUGCAAACAGUUAUAAAAAUUUAGCACAACGCAUUAUCACAACUGGUAAUAGUCUAAUGGAUAACAUUUACAAUUACCCAAACAUUUUAAUAGUCAUCCCCUACCAUUGUAUCUUUUUAGUUUCCUGGUGCUACUUACACAUGUAUCCUUAGUUGUAUAAUCACACUCUGUACUGCCUGGGGGUUGGGAUGGCAUGUUCCUCCCUUCUCCUUUGUUGUUUUACUUGCAACAAUAAACUAUCAAUCAAUCAAUCAAUCAAUCAAGCAUAUACUGUCUGCUCAGUAUUAAUUUUGCUUUAACCAUUAUUUGAACUGUUUUUUAAAAGUUGGGAAAAUAACUAAAAUCAAUAAUUUCACUUGCUAGACUGUAGCAUGUGGCAACCCAAAGGUCAAUCUUUGCACUUAUAUCGGGCCAACCUGCAUAAUGGUUUGCUUUUGAGACUGUGAUA